UGAGAGCGGCGGACGGGUGAGUAAUGCCUAGGAAUCUGCCUGGUAGUGGGGGAUAACGUUCGGAAACGGACGCUAAUACCGCAUACGUCCUACGGGAGAAAGCAGGGGACCUUCGGGCCUUGCGCUAUCAGAUGAGCCUAGGUCGGAUUAGCUAGUUGGUGAGGUAAUGGCUCACCAAGGCGACGAUCCGUAACUGGUCUGAGAGGAUGAUCAGUCACACUGGAACUGAGACACGGUCCAGACUCCUACGGGAGGCAGCAGUGGGGAAUAUUGGACAAUGGGCGAAAGCCUGAUCCAGCCAUGCCGCGUGUGUGAAGAAGGUCUUCGGAUUGUAAAGCACUUUAAGUUGGGAGGAAGGGCAAUUACCUAAUACGUGAUGGUUUUGACGUUACCGACAGAAUAAGCACCGGCUAACUCUGUGCCAGCAGCCGCGGUAAUACAGAGGGUGCAAGCGUUAAUCGGAAUUACUGGGCGUAAAGCGCGCGUAGGUGGUUUGUUAAGUUGGAUGUGAAAUCCCCGGGCUCAACCUGGGAACUGCAUUCAAAACUGACUGACUAGAGUAUGGUAGAGGGAUGGUGGAAUUUCCUGUGUAGCGGUGAAAUGCGUAGAUAUAGGAAGGAACACCAGUGGCGAAGGCGACCACCUGGACUGAUACUGACACUGAGGUGCGAAAGCGUGGGGAGCAAACAGGAUUAGAUACCCUGGUAGUCCACG
RNAcentral lists this ribosomal RNA (714 nucleotides) under soil bacterium Mafe-S1N-M1LLLSSL-3. RNAcentral describes it as "bacterial SSU rRNA". It matches the Rfam family "Bacterial small subunit ribosomal RNA", at positions 90 to 799 of the family's 1533-position model. The record is from RNAcentral.